This 226-nucleotide long non-coding RNA is filed under the name Helianthus annuus (common sunflower). RNAcentral describes it as "hypothetical non coding rna". Lineage: Eukaryota; Viridiplantae; Streptophyta; Magnoliopsida; Asterales; Asteraceae. The record is from RNAcentral.
GCACGAGAAGAAAAGCAUAUUCGGAUGCGAGGAAAUAACAUAAGUAUGCGUUGCUUAAACUAGAAAGCUUUAAAGCAAAAGUUAUGUAAACGGGUCAAUACCUUGACCCGAGCCAGGUACACUUUGGGAUGCCGGAAGACGAUCAAGCUCAACGAAGAACCGAACACACCAUAGAUACACGCUUCCGCACUUUGCUAUGUUGAAAAUUUUAAACAACGAAUUCAAC